This 404-nucleotide ribosomal RNA is filed under the name bacterium. RNAcentral describes it as "partial 16S ribosomal RNA". It matches the Rfam family "Bacterial small subunit ribosomal RNA", at positions 355 to 776 of the family's 1533-position model. RNAcentral also lists the same sequence under 2 other names. The record is from RNAcentral.
UGGGGAAUAUUGCACAAUGGGGGAAACCCUGAUGCAGCGACGCCGCGUGGAGGAAGAAGGUCUUCGGAUUGUAAACUCCUGUUGUUGGGGAAGAUAAUGACGGUACCCAACAAGGAAGUGACGGCUAACUACGUGCCAGCAGCCGCGGUAAAACGUAGGUCACAAGCGUUGUCCGGAAUUACUGGGUGUAAAGGGAGCGCAGGCGGGAAGACAAGUUGGAAGUGAAAUCUAUGGGCUCAACCCAUAAACUGCUUUCAAAACUGUUUUUCUUGAGUAGUGCAGAGGUAGGCGGAAUUCCCGGUGUAGCGGUGGAAUGCGUAGAUAUCGGGAGGAACACCAGUGGCGAAGGCGGCCUACUGGGCACCAACUGACGCUGAGGCUCGAAAGUGUGGGUAGCAAACAGG